This 440-nucleotide ribosomal RNA is filed under the name uncultured bacterium. RNAcentral's name for it is "partial 16S ribosomal RNA". It matches the Rfam family "Bacterial small subunit ribosomal RNA", at positions 338 to 795 of the family's 1533-position model. The record is from RNAcentral.
CCUACGGGAGGCAGCAGUGGGGAAUAUUGCACAAUGGGGGAAACCCUGAUGCAGCAACGCCGCGUGAGUGAAGAAGUAUUUCGGUAUGUAAAGCUCUAUCAGCAGGGAAGAAGAUGACGGUAUCUGAGUAAGAAGCCCCGGCUAACUACGGGCCAGCAGCCGCGGUAAUACGUAGGGGGCAAGCGUUAUCCGGAUUUACUGGGUGUAAAGGGGGCGUAGACGGUGAGACAAGUCUGAAGUGAAAGCCCGGGGCUCAACCCCGGAACUGCUUUGGAAACUGCCUGACUGGAGUGCUGGAGAGGCAAGCGGAAUUCCUAGUGUAGCGGUGAAAUGCGUAGAUAUUAGGAGGAACACCAGUGGCGAAGGCGGCCUGCUGGACUGUAACUGACGUUGAGGCUCGAAAGCGUGGGGAGCAAACAGGAUUAGAUACCCGGGUAGUC